AGACUAGGGACAUCUGUACCCUGUAUAAAAAAACAAUUUUUCAUUUGGGUGAAAAGACCCAAAUAAUAAAGGAAGACGAAAAGACCCCGCGGAACUUUACCUUUUCCAGUCUCCACAUACUUAGAAAUACAAAAACAAAAGGUUUGAUUGGGGCAAUCUCGGAACCAUUCAAACUUCCGAUCUUCAACCUAACAGUAUAUAAAACUUAAUAAGGACCAAAAAGAAGUUACCCCGGGGAUAACAGCGUAAUCCAAUUAGAGAGUACACAUCGAAAAUUGGGUUUGCGACCUC
RNAcentral lists this ribosomal RNA (291 nucleotides) under Sagittunio nasutus. RNAcentral's name for it is "Ligumia nasuta partial 16S ribosomal RNA". The stretch from base 44 to 291 matches the Rfam family "Bacterial large subunit ribosomal RNA", at positions 2048 to 2527 of the family's 2925-position model. Lineage: Eukaryota; Metazoa; Mollusca; Bivalvia; Unionida; Unionidae. The record is from RNAcentral.